CAACAACCGAUCCGGUUGCCGCCCUCGCCGGCGGAGUGACCGGCGGCACGUCCGGUGCCCUCCCGAAGCAGCCGCCAAAAUCCGCGUCGGUCUCCGUCGCCUCCUCGGGAGCACCUUCCACAGCGCUCCCACCGAGAGGAGGAGGGGCGGCUGCGGCGUGACACCCAUCAGUCCCGACGGUCAUCUCCCUCCCAGCUGGAACGAGCGAGGAAGGAGAAGCGGC
RNAcentral lists this long non-coding RNA (223 nucleotides) under Elaeis guineensis (African oil palm). RNAcentral describes it as "long non-coding RNA (EGUI_LNC024427)". The record is from RNAcentral. Lineage: Eukaryota; Viridiplantae; Streptophyta; Magnoliopsida; Arecales; Arecaceae.